UUUAUUACUUAAAAAAAUCUUGCACUUUUUCAGAAGUUAAUGGUUGAGCAGCCAACGAGUUGCGCAUGAGCAUGCUAAUGGGUUGCGGACCGCGGGCUUUCUAUGAGGACGCUAGUAUCGUGAUCGGGUGGUUGAGGCACGGAUUAGGACUUAGGAGCACCCCGAUAGAAGCGAGACAUAGACUUGCCGAUUGGAGCGGAAGACAUUAAGCAUCUUCUGUUCAAGUGUAGCCGGGCAAAGCCGUAUAGCAAGCACUGGGUACUCGUGACUUAUUUGAAAAAACUUGUCUUGUUCAUCGUCCAGGACAGUAUGUUUUAGAGGAGUUGUUGUAUUGAAGCCUUGAUCAUUCACUGAUUUUUGGGACAAGCCCCACUGCCAGAGCUUGUUGCGGUGUCCUUUGGUAUUUAUGGUGGGAAAGGAGGCAAAUUAGCCGUGAUAUUCGGGUGCAGUCCCAAAAAGAUCUGUGAUGGCAAUCAAAGUGUUAUCCUCAUAUUCGAGGUCUUCUGCAGUUCCUAAUGCAAGGGUGAGAAAGGGGAGAUGGGCUCCACCAAGGUGAUUGUGUUAAGAUAAACGUUGAUGCUUCUUUCGAUCCAGACAUUUUUACAGGUGCGGUCAUUCGUUAUAAAAAGGGAAGUGUAAUGCACAUUUGGAUAUGGUCCAAGAUGUUCUUUCGACUGAAGCUUUGGCUCUCAAGCAUGCCUUGUUCUUAGCUGAAUCUAUGGGUUGUAAUAGAGUUGUUGUGAGCUCUGAUAAUAGUGAAUUAAUAGAAAUUAUGAAGAAUGAGAGGCCUCCUACAGGUAUUGCUGCAACAAUUUUUCAAGAUUGUUUUUCAGAAAAUUGCUUCUAUACCAUCGACAUCCUCUGCAAUGGCUUAUUUGCCAUCCAACAAAGCUUCAGUGCUUAUAUACCAAGUACAAACAAAAUCUAUUGCUUAUUUGCCAUGGCUGUUAGUCUCCCGUUACCAAGUCUCUAUUUUCUUGCAAAAUCCAAUUUUACCCUCGCUGUAGAUUAAAAAAAAGACAACUCGCCCACGCACCUGACUCUCCACGAGACCACGACUCAACGCACGCACACCUGACCCUCCCCAUCCCCACGCACGCACGCGCAGCGGCAACCUCCAGCGAGCGGCAAUGGCGGAACCGCCGCCGGCGCCACCAUCGCCCCUGUCGCCGCUCCACCAACCCCCGCUGUUGCCGCAGAAUCUCGACGCCGCUGCGCCUCAAGGCUUCUCUCCCACCGCAUCUUCGACCCUAUCCAGGCGACGCCUAAUGGCGGAACCACCGCCGCCGCUUCCCCAGCCCCUGCCGCACGGUCCCGCCGCCGCCGCCGCGCCUCUAUCCCUCUCGUCUACCGCGUCUUCGAUGGCCUCCGCAAACGGGCUAGCAGCAGCAGCCUCUCCCAGCGUCCAUGUCGCCCAGAACCCUGGGAUUGGGGAUUCCGGCGAGGUGGAGAGUAGGGCAGUGGCGCCGACGGCCGAGGCUCUUCCCAAGAUCAACUCCUCUGUGGGCGCACUUGCAGCAGCCCCUCCGCCCCAGAUUUGCAUGCCCGACGAGGAAGAAGGCAUGGCAGACGAAUGCGACUCAACCUCUCUCUCUGCUAUUUGUGCUAGGAUGAUCCAGUCUUGUACUUACACAAUAGAGGUCAAGGUUUGUGGCAGUGAAACAAAAAUCAAUGGGGAUUCGACAUUUAGUUGGCAGAUUAUUGAGGGUACUAGGACAAGUAUGAAGGAUUUGCUGGCUUGUAUUGCUGGAACUUCUUCUUUUGCUUUAUGCUCAAAGGAUAAUAUAAUUCUUGAGUAUGUUGAUUCCAUUAGUGGCAAACAUCUCUCUGUGUCAAAUGAUGAAGAAUGCAUGAAAAUGUUUGACUGUUUUGAGAAGAAUAGAAGUGGCCAUUUGAUCAUCAAAUAUUCUGAGAGAAGUGAUAAUGUUGAUGUUCCAUGUACUCCUUCGAACCAGACACCAUCUAUAGCACUACCUAGUCAACCAAGUAAUGUCAUGGAUGAAGCUAGUGUAUGCCUAACAAAUACAUAUCUUAACAAUCCCCAUGAAGAAUAUGAACAUGUUGGUGUAGAUGAGGAGGACCAAUACUCAAUUGGCAGUGUUGGUUCCGAUAGUGAUGAUGAGGUCGGAGAAAAAGAUAUACCAAAUAUUGAUUAUGUUGAGGAUAGCAGCGAUGAUGAGGAAUGGGUUACGGAAGAUGCUAGACCGGAUGCUAUUCUAGAAAUUGCCUAUGACAAAGAAAACCCGCCAAUGCAUGUUGGCGCAAAGUACCCCAACAUUGAAGAGCUUAGGUUGGCAAUUUCUACAUACGCUGUAAAGAAAGAGUUCGAAUUUAAGGUUGAAAAAAGUGAACCUACUCGAUUCAGGGCUUAUUGUCGCCAGGCGAACAAGACGGGCUGUAAAUGGAGAAUUCAUGUUGGGAGGUUGGAUGACCGAGAAACUAUGGAGGUCAAAGUUCAUGUGCAGGAGCACACAUGUUCUAGCACAAAGAAGAAAAAGAAGCAGAAAAAUGCUUCAAAUGCAUGGGUAUGUGAGAAAGUCAUGGACUAGGUAAAAGAAGAUCCUAGUGUUCGGCCGAUGGAAUUAUGCAGGAGGUUAGUAGCCAAUUAGCUACUGCUGGUGCUAUUGACGGGCACAAUUGGUUGUACCCUGUAGUCUAUGGAGUUAUCGACUCGGAAACUACUGAAAGUUGGGUGUGGUUUAUGGAGAAGCUUCGUGAAACUAUUGGCUCUCCCCCCGGUCUAGCUAUAUGUUCAGAUGCAGGAAAAGGGAUUGACACUGCAAUCGAACAGGUAUUCGGGUAUGCUGAACAUAGAGAAUGCAUGUGACACUUGGUUCUGAACUUCAAGAAAAUAUUCCAUGGUAAAGUUUUUGAUGAUCAUUUGUGGUCAGCUGCUUAUUCAUGGACUCCUCGAGGGUUUGACUAUCACAUGGCAGCCAUAGAGGAGAAAAUGGCUGCUGCAAUAGCAUACUUAAACAAGUACCACAACAGGCUAUGGUCAAGGAGCAAAUAUUCAACCUCCUCAAAAGUGGAUUAUGUGACAAAUAAUUUGGCCGAGUGUUUCAACAACUGGAUCUGCAAGCACAAAGGUUUAAUGUUGUUCCAGCUCAUGGACAAGAUAAGGAGAAAGAUUACGGUUAAGUUUGAGAAGAGGAGAAGCUAGAAAAUUUCAAGGUCGGCGUAUACUUCCAAGUGUCAUGAAGGAGUUGAAUGACAUAAGGGGGCUGGACAUUGAAUAUGAGAGAAUAGAUGACAUGAUUGCAGAGGUGAGUGAGAAGGGUGAUAAGGUUUUUGGGGAGCGCUCAGCGCGACUACUGACUACUUCAUCACGGACGCCCCGGACUCCGACGACUUCUUCCCCAACGUCGACAACCUUCUCGACGACAUGGCUGGCGAGGACACCGACCCCAAGUCCAGUGCUACUGCUGCUGCUGUCCCGUACGUGUCCUUGCUCUUUCUGUUAGAUGUCCUCUCGCAGUUCUUUGCUCUAGUGUCUGUCCUACAUAUGUUAGGUUGUACGCCAUAUAUGCAACCUGUUCUACUAUCUGCUUUAGACAUAUUUAGUUGCAGUUCAUAUAUGAAGGUGUUAUUUACCUCUCUCUGUCAGAUUGCAUGACUACUUUUAUCCAUGUUAUAUCAGUCAUGGUUUAUCUAAUAUUUUUAUUAAUAAAAUCAUUUGGUAAAUUGCUCAUUUUUUCAACAAUAAACUCGCCCGCUUUUUCAUGCCUGGAUCAGCCAGUUUCCUGCGAAACGUACAUGUAUAUUCCCGUGUCGGAAAGGAAAGGAAAGGAAAAGAACAGUGCACGAAUAUUAUUCCUCGUGCUCGUGCUCUUCUCGCGUUUGUCUCGACCGGCCGGCCGGCCACGACUUCACUGCCGCCGUUUUCCCGGAUGAUUCCGUGAAAAUGCUGCCCAACAGCCCAAAUACCACAGACCACGGCCAGAUCGACCAGAAAACUUCACGGAAAACCACCGGAUCAGCCGUCAUUUGGGGGGCUAGCGUGUGUGUCGGCCGAGGCGUCGGGUUUGCACGUUUUGCCCGGAUCAGCCGUCUCCAGGUGAAAUGUGCAGGUACAUUCCCGUUUCAUCAAUCAUCAAAAGGACAAAGGAAAUAAACACUACACGACGGUUCCUAAAAAUGGAAGAGGAAAUUACACUGCACGACAAUUCCACGCGUGUGUACCUAAAAAUAGAAAGACCGCUCCUCGUGCUGUUCUCGCGUUUUGUUAUUGGUCGGCCACGACUUCACUGCCGCCGUUUUCUCGGAUGAUUCCGUGAAAAUGCUGCCCAAGUACCACAUGCCACGACCAGAUCGACCAGAAAACUUCACGAAAAAACACCGGAAAACUGCGUGGUAUUUUCCAUGCACGCGCUCUCCCUGCGCUAUAUAUGCAGUUCACCACGUUCGUACGAGGCCGUACCAAAAGUCCAGAACUCAAAAGGUGAAACCCACAAGAGAUCGAGCUGUUGCCAUGGCUUCCCGUGCCACACCGUCCAGCUGCUCGGCGAGCAAGCUCCUCCUCCUCCUCGUCCUUGUGUUGGCCGCCGCUGCGGCGCACGGCGUGGCCGCGGCGAGGCCGGGGCCGGGGGUGGCGGGCGCGGACGACGGAGGCGCGAGCGCGAGGCUGCUGUCGGGGCCGGGGGCCUCUUGCUGCACGCACGAUCGGAACUCGGAGGGGACCUCGUGCUGCCCACAUAGGCCACCUCCGUAGUAGCCCACUGCAGACUGCGCCCGAAAUGCGUGGAGUAAAUUAUUUGGUUGUUGAUCGUUCAUUCAUUCGUGUACAGAUAGAAAUCAACCGUGUAUAUUUAUUCCUUCUUCUUUGGUUUCUGGUCGUUGUUUAUUUCUGAACUACAGUAGCAGUGUCUCUCGUUCAAUAGGAGAACCAUGUAUUGUAAGGUGUCAGAAGAGUCUUUGUUUUCAUGGUAUCAGAAGUUUGUAGAAUUGUCUAGCUAAUAGGAAAAAUAUUCCUCCGCGGAUAUAUACUUCUAUAUUGUCUAACUAUAACAUGAUUAAUGAUCUAUGUGUGAUUUGAUUUGUA
This is a non-coding RNA of Aegilops tauschii subsp. strangulata, 5041 nucleotides long. Lineage: Eukaryota; Viridiplantae; Streptophyta; Magnoliopsida; Poales; Poaceae. The record is from RefSeq and is a predicted model, not a curated record.